CUGGAGGUAUCAGAAGUGCGAAUGCUGACAUAAGUAACGAUAAAGCGGGUGAAAAGCCCGCUCGCCGGAAGACCAAGGGUUCCUGUCCAACGUUAAUCGGGGCAGGGUGAGUCGACCCCUAAGGCGAGGCCGAAAGGCGUAGUCGAUGGGAAACAGGUUAAUAUUCCUGUACUUGGUGUUACUGCGAAGGGGGGACGGAGAAGGCUAUGUUGGCCGGGCGACGGUUGUCCCGGUUUAAGCGUGUAGGCUGGUUUUCCAGGCAAAUCCGGAAAAUCAAGGCUGAGGCGUGAUGACGAGGCACUACGGUGCUGAAGCAACAAAUGCCCUGCUUCCAGGAAAAGCCUCUAAGCAUCAGGUAACAUCAAAUCGUACCCCAAACCGACACAGGUGGUCAGGUAGAGAAUACCAAGGCGCUUGAGAGAACUCGGGUGAAGGAACUAGGCAAAAUGGUGCCGUAACUUCGGGAGAAGGCACGCUGAUAUGUAGGUGAAGCGACUUGCUC
Molecule: ribosomal RNA, 502 nt
Filed under: Escherichia coli
Lineage: Bacteria; Pseudomonadati; Pseudomonadota; Gammaproteobacteria; Enterobacterales; Enterobacteriaceae
Description: partial 23S ribosomal RNA
Rfam family: Bacterial large subunit ribosomal RNA
Source: RNAcentral